Long non-coding RNA from Ictalurus punctatus (channel catfish), 1880 nucleotides. The record is from Ensembl. NCBI's taxonomy places the organism in Eukaryota, Metazoa, Chordata, Actinopteri, Siluriformes, Ictaluridae.
UGAGGGUUUUAGACAUCUUUAGACAGACCUCCUAGCUAAUUUUGUAUCAGCGCUGGUGUGAUUAGAACACAUUGGUAUCUGAUGUCGGUGUUUAUUGUGUGUUUUAUGUGCAAACUGAGAGCAGAGCGUAUCAAGAGGGGCUCUUACGAAAGGAUAAAGGUUCUUUUGCGCUGUGUGAGGGCUGUAAGCUGGAACAGACAGCGGCUCUCUGAAGGUGGUUCUCAUGUAGGGAGUGUGUUCUUGUGGUGGCAGAGAACGAACGUCGUCGCCAUUAUCCACACAGCACCAUCUUAGCAGCUGGGGAAACACAAAGUCAGACAGGACAAGAAGAAAUGAAUAACAGUUAUACCACAAAUGUAAACUAAUCAAAGAAGCUAGGUUUAAACUCUCUGAAUGUCAUCUCUGGAGCUGUUUUCAUAUCCAUCUUCAUAUCAGUGAAAGUUGUGAAGUUGUGCUAGUUGUAGGGAUUUGGGAUUUGCUUUCUAAUUAUAAAACUAUUUCAUAACUAAGGUCUUGCUGUGGUUGUGCACGUGCAGUGACUGAAAUGACUAUAAAGGAAUUCCUACCAGGAUGAUGAUUAUGAUGAUGAGGAGCAGGAUGGCGAUGGCAGCCAGCACGAGUAAAGCGAUCGCCCAGCCAGGGACUCCUUCACCCUGGUUAGAUGAUGGGCUGCUGUUCGUGAGAACAUGUUCUGUUCUGCUAUCUUUGUUGUUGGUGGAGGAAGGGUUUGUAACUCCAGUGUGGGUCUCAGGGCUGCUUACUGAAUGACUGCUUGUUGUGUUGGAAGAGGACUUAUUGCUGGUGCUGGAGGAAAUGUGUUCUGGAUGCAUUGUUGGGUGGGGAAUUGGAGGCCUGGAGGUUUCUUUGCUAGUUGCUGUGGUUGUUUUCUGUUUUGUGGUGGUUGUGUUUGGUGUGGUAGUUGUGGUGGUGGUUUUUGUUGGUGUGGCUGGUGUUGUGGUUGUUGUCGGUGGUGUUGUGGUGGUUGUUGGUCUUGUGGUUGUGGUAAUGGUUGUUGUUGUCAGUGUUGUGGUGGUUGUUGGUCUUGUGGUUGUGGUAGUGACUGUUGUUGUUGGUGUUGUGGUGGUUGUUGUGAUUGUUGUUGUUGGUGUUGUGGUGGUUGUUGGUAUUGUGGUGGUUGUUGUUGGUCUUGUGGUUGUUGUAGUGGUAGUGGUUGUUGUCAGUGUUGUGGUGGUUAUUGUUGUGGUGGGAGAUGUGGUAGUAGUUGUUGUUGUCAGUGUUGUCUUGGUUGUUGGUGUUGUGGUUGUUACAUAAGAGUCUGUAGAGAGAUCAGUGUUAGUAUUUCACAUUGUGAUUUCACAGACAUUUGUAUUAAGUACAUUGUGUGUGUGUGUGUGUGUGUGUGUGUGUGUGUGUGUAUGUGUAUGUGUAUGUGUGUGUGUGUGUGUGUGUGUGUGUGUUUUGUGCAUGCUUACCCUGUACGGUAUCAGGGUUGAUUUGAAGGCCAUUAAUUUCAUUAUUGCUGUUGAGGCCAUCCAGAAAAAUGAAUUUGAGCAAAAUGGGAUUGGUCAGAGUACCUUUGAACGCAAUGGUGGUGUCUGCAAUCACUGAUCCCUUUCUGUAAUAAUAAAUAAUAAUAUGAGGUGAUUAUCGUAAUCUGUUAGCUAACUGCUUUUACUGCACUUAGUACUGAAGUAUUGUACCUGAAACUCAUGGAUGUCACACCAUGAUAAGCUGCACUAUUGGGACAGCUGGAGCAGCCAAAGACAGAGUAGAACUUAAAAAUAAACAAAUCAAGGUUAAAUGUAGCAGCUUAGAGUACCAUAUGUAUUUGCAUGCCUGAUAUAUUUGAUGGUUAGAAUUUAUAACCCCAAUACUUUGUGAACUUAAUUUAUUUUUUAAAAUAUACACUCAUUUCAAAU